GCUCAGAUUGAACGCUGGCGGCAGGCCUAACACAUGCAAGUCGAGCGGAUGAAGGGAGCUUGCUCCCUGAUUCAGCGGCGGACGGGUGAGUAAUGCCUAGGAAUCUGCCUGGUAGUGGGGGACAACGUUUCGAAAGGAACGCUAAUACCGCAUACGUCCUACGGGAGAAAGCAGGGGACCUUCGGGCCUUGCGCUAUCAGAUGAGCCUAGGUCGGAUUAGCUAGUUGGUGAGGUAAUGGCUCACCAAGGCGACGAUCCGUAACUGGUCUGAGAGGAUGAUCAGUCACACUGGAACUGAGACACGGUCCAGACUCCUACGGGAGGCAGCAGUGGGGAAUAUUGGACAAUGGGCGAAAGCCUGAUCCAGCCAUGCCGCGUGUGUGAAGAAGGUCUUCGGAUUGUAAAGCACUUUAAGUUGGGAGGAAGGGUUGCUGAUUAAUACUCUGCAAUUUUGACGUUACCGACAGAAUAAGCACCGGCUAACUCUGUGCCAGCAGCCGCGGUAAUACAGAGGGUGCAAGCGUUAAUCGGAAUUACUGGGCGUAAAGCGCGCGUAGGUGGUUUGUUAAGUUGGAUGUGAAAGCCCCGGGCUCAACCUGGGAACUGCAUCCAAAACUGGCAAGCUAGAGUAGGGCAGAGGGUGGUGGAAUUUCCUGUGUAGCGGUGAAAUGCGUAGAUAUAGGAAGGAACACCAGUGGCGAAGGCGACCACCUGGGCUCAUACUGA
RNAcentral lists this ribosomal RNA (726 nucleotides) under Pseudomonas sp. 120426_NH_C_G2. RNAcentral's name for it is "bacterial SSU rRNA". It matches the Rfam family "Bacterial small subunit ribosomal RNA", at positions 22 to 743 of the family's 1533-position model. Lineage: Bacteria; Pseudomonadati; Pseudomonadota; Gammaproteobacteria; Pseudomonadales; Pseudomonadaceae. The record is from RNAcentral.